RNAcentral lists this non-coding RNA (781 nucleotides) under Spoladea recurvalis. Lineage: Eukaryota; Metazoa; Arthropoda; Insecta; Lepidoptera; Crambidae. The record is from RNAcentral.
AAAUAAAUUUUUUAUAGUUUAAUAAUUUUAUUAUAAAUUUAUUUUGCAUAUAAAUUUUUGUGAAAAUUAUUAAUUAUUUUAAUAAUAAUUAAUUUAAAUUUUGUAGUAAUUAAUAUUAAAAAUUUAAGAAAUUAAGAUUUAGUAAUAUUUACAUUUAAUAACAAAUUUUGUGCCAGCAGUUGCGGUUAAACAAAAGUUAAAUUAAAUUUUAUUAGUAAUUAAUAAAUAAUAAAUAAAUUUUAAUUAAAUAUUAGAUUAUUAGGUGAAAUUUUAAUUUAAUAAAAAUUAAUAUAAAUUUUAUAAUUUAAUAAAUUUUAUUUAUAAACUAGGAUUAGAUACCCUAUUAUUAAAAAUUUAAAUUAAUAAUACUAAAAUAGUAUAUAAUUAUUUAUAGAAACUUAAAUAAUUUGGCGGUAUUUUAGUUCAUUUAGAGGAAUCUGUUUAAUAAUUGAUAAUCCACGAAUAAAUUUACUUAAUUUAUUAUUUUGUAUAUCGUUGUUAUAAAAAUAUUUUUAAAUAAAAAAUAAUAUUUUAAAUUUAUAAUAAAAAUUAAAUCAGAUCAAGAUGCAGAUUAUAAUUAAGAAUAUAAUGGAUUACAAUAAAUUUAUUUAAAUUAAUUUUAAUUUUAAAAAAUUAAAUGAGAGUGGAUUUAAAUGUAAUUUUAUUUAGUUUAUUAAAAUGAUUAAAAAUUAAAAUAUGUACAUAUUGCCCGUCGCUUUCAUAAAUAAAUUGAAAUAAGUCGUAACAAAGUAGAGGUACUGGAAAGUGUUUCUAGAAAUUU